Molecule: long non-coding RNA, 552 nt
Organism: Panicum virgatum (switchgrass)
Lineage: Eukaryota; Viridiplantae; Streptophyta; Magnoliopsida; Poales; Poaceae
Exons: 4
Source: RefSeq, a predicted model, not a curated record
GUACUUUAAUUUGUAUGGACUUUAGUUUGUCGGCUAUCAUGGGUUUAUACUGCCUUAUGCAGCAUCUGCUACAAUGCUGAUAGAUGGGUAGAACAUGUAUCAUUGCUCAUUCCCAGUGGCAUGGUUUGAUCCUGAGGAAGUUACCUUAUCUUUAUGAUUAAUCAAGGAGGGGUCAUGAUGUUGUCAAAUCUAUAUAUUUUUUUUGUUUAUGAAAUGGUGACUCUCAAUCUAUUUGGAACAUCAAUAGUCUAAGAGACAAGUCUGUCAAACACUACACUCUUGCAACAGGUUUUGCUUGUGCAAAGGGGUCUCUGCUUGAUCAGAAGCCAGAAAAUGCUGUUGCCAUGAUUAAACUCCUUUACAAGAUAAAAAUAGGAGGCUUAGUAGUUUGGACAAAAGGAGACAUACAUUUUGUUUACAGAGGAAGCAAUUAUCAGCAAAACACAAAGCAUAGUUACUAUUUCGUGAGUGAUGUUCAAAAUAUGAAACACAAUGUUUCUACAACCCUGCUUGAAUAUUUUAACUUCUUCAAAGUGCUAACCAAUGCUAAUG